Molecule: long non-coding RNA, 1493 nt
Organism: Acinonyx jubatus (cheetah)
Lineage: Eukaryota; Metazoa; Chordata; Mammalia; Carnivora; Felidae
Exons: 3
Source: RefSeq, a predicted model, not a curated record
UUGCCUGUGUCAAAAGAGGACAGGGCAAUGAACUCAGGCCCCGAGGGGACCUCCAGUCCCCAUCCAGAGGCAGUCCCUCAGCCCCACUCACCUGCACAUAACCCAUGGAGGGCGGUCCGAAGUCGUUAAACAGGGGUCUGAAAGGGGCAGCGGCUCCCGGCACCGAGCCCGAUGGCGAUGGGACACUUCCGGCUGCAACAUGCGCGAGUAAGAGGUCAGCGCGGGGCCAGGACGCCUCCUCCCAGCUUUCCAAGCCCCCGACCGGAUUCGCCCGAUUCCCUCCAAACGGAUGCUUCACUUCAGGAGCUCAACUUCAGGGACAAACCCCUCCCCCUGCACUCCACCAACUAGCCCUUACGUGACCACGCCCACUUCACAGGCCAGCAAACUGAGGCUCAGCGAGGGUAGGCGGCAGGCCCAGUGUUGCAGAACUCAGGCCGUCUUCUCCACCACCCGGGCAGGCCUUGUGCUGGACACUGAUGAUAUGGAAAUGAACUGGCCAUGGCUUCUGCCCUCAAGGAGCUCUUAGUCUCAAGGAGAGACGGACAGGGAAGCGAAGGCACACAGUAUAGUACGACAAUGGGAAGUCUGGUACAGGAUGCAUUGGAAUUUGGAGGAAGGAGCCUGCUUGGUGACAUCACAGAAGUCUUCCCAGAGGAAGUGGCAUUCAAUUGGCAAAUGAGCAAAUUAACUGUGAUGUAUCCAUAUAAUGAACUAUUAUUCAGCAAUAAAAGGAAAUCAUCUAUCUCACCAUGAAAAGACACGGAGCGGCAUAUUGCUAAGUGAAAGAAGCCAGUCUGAAAAAACCAUGUACUGUAUGAUUCCAAUUGUAGGGCGUUCUGGAAAAAAGGAAACUUCUACAUAAGAAUGGGGCUCUAAGGACCACGGCAGCGCUGGAGCGAGGGGACGUGUCGUUUGGGUCCCCCGGAAGCAGACGCUGAGGUGAAGUCAGGAAUGCAAGAGAGAGAGGGCGAGGAAGCGGGCUUGGGCAGGAGAGCCUCUGAGCGGACGCCGACCUGGCGCCUGCCGUGCUCGGGCGUUUGAGGCGGGAACCCCAAAGCUGAUGUGUAUCCGAAGGGGCCCGUCUGUCACUCACUCCUCCCAGCUGACCUUCCAGCUCUUUCUCCCUCCCAGAGUACGUGAGGUUGGCCUGGGAAAAGCCCUCACUCCCUUGUGCUACCCUCUGUUGUAACCCCGGCCCUGACGGGAGCCCUUUUGCGGGAUGAGGGGCCAGUGCACAUCCCAGCUCUGGGAGAAGCAGGUGGCAUUUACUCAUCUAGGGACGUUUCCUGAUACUGGCUCUGGGAGGGGCCCAGAAUCCAGAAAGGGCCCCUGCCCACCUGGAGUUCAUGGUCGAGGGAUCUUAUAACUUUUAGGGGCCCAAACACUGGGUCCUGCAGGUUAAACAAAUGAGAAGCAGAAGCCAUCCCCUCAGGCUCCAAGACACUUUACUCUCAGAGAGACAGGGACGGGCAGUGGGGCUUGGUGGGGAA